RNAcentral lists this transfer RNA (90 nucleotides) under Gammaproteobacteria bacterium. RNAcentral describes it as "tRNA-Ser". It matches the Rfam family "tRNA". From Rfam's summary of the family: Transfer RNA (tRNA) molecules are approximately 80 nucleotides in length. The record is from RNAcentral. RNAcentral also lists the same sequence under 3 other names. Lineage: Bacteria; Pseudomonadati; Pseudomonadota; Gammaproteobacteria.
GGAGAGAUGGCAGAGCGGUUGAAUGCACUAGUCUUGAAAACUAGCAAGGGGGCAACUCCUUCCAGGGUUCGAAUCCCUGUCUCUCCGCCA